Molecule: unclassified non-coding RNA, 376 nt
Filed under: uncultured bacterium
Lineage: Bacteria
Description: contains 16S-23S intergenic spacer region
Source: RNAcentral
UCCGAGUUGACCCCGGCAGUCUCCUAUGAGUCCCCACCAUAACGCGCUGGCAACAUAGGACAAGGGUUGCGCUCGUUACGGGACUUAACCCAACAUCUCACGACACGAGCUGACGACAGCCAUGCACCACCUGUCACCCACCAACCAAAUGACCCCACAUCUCUGCAGGUCCACGGGCAAUGUCAAGCCUUGGUAAGGUUCUUCGCGUUGCGUCGAAUUAAGCAACAUGCUCCGCCGCUUGUGCGGGCCCCCGUCAAUUCCUUUGAGUUCUAAUCUUGCGACCGUACUCCCCAGGCGGGAUGCUUAAAGCGUUAGCGGCGCCACCGAAGAGCAAGCUCCCCGACGGCUAGCAUCCAUCGUUUACGGCGUGGACUAC